This 454-nucleotide ribosomal RNA is filed under the name uncultured bacterium. RNAcentral describes it as "partial 16S ribosomal RNA". It matches the Rfam family "Bacterial small subunit ribosomal RNA", at positions 341 to 792 of the family's 1533-position model. The record is from RNAcentral.
ACGGGAGGCAGCAGUGAGGAAUAUUGGUCAAUGGUCGGAAGACUGAACCAGCCAAGUCGCGUGAAGGAUGACGGCCCUAUGGGUUGUAAACUUCUUUUGCCGGGGGAUAAACCUGGCCACGUGUGGCCAGCUGAAGGUACCCGGUGAAUAAGCAUCGGCUAACUCCGUGCCAGCAGCCGCGGUAAUACGGAGGAUGCGAGCGUUAUCCGGAUUUAUUGGGUUUAAAGGGUGCGCAGGCGGCACGUUAAGUCAGCGGUGAAAUGCAGGGGCUCAACCCCGGCACUGCCGUUGAAACUGGCGAGCUCGAGUACGGAUGAAGUCGGCGGAAUGUGAUGUGUAGCGGUGAAAUGCUUAGAUAUGUCACAGAACACCGAUUGCGAAGGCAGCUGACUAAUCCGCAACUGACGCUCAGGCACGAAAGCGUGGGGAUCGAACAGGAUUAGAUACCCUGGUA